Molecule: non-coding RNA, 75 nt
Organism: Mycobacterium riyadhense
Lineage: Bacteria; Bacillati; Actinomycetota; Actinomycetes; Mycobacteriales; Mycobacteriaceae
Source: Rfam
CUUGAUCGAGCCCAACCACACCGGCCGCUCCGCAUCACGAUCCUGCCCAUAGGUGGCCACAAUGGCUUGCGCCUC